This is a non-coding RNA of Pelobates cultripes (western spadefoot toad), 234 nucleotides long. The record is from the annotation of a GenBank genome assembly. NCBI's taxonomy places the organism in Eukaryota, Metazoa, Chordata, Amphibia, Anura, Pelobatidae.
CUUUGUAAUUUAAAGGGACACUACAGUCACCCAGACCACUUCAGCUCAAUGAAGUGGUCUGGGUGCCAGGUCCCUCAGGUUUUAACCCUCCUUACAUGUAAACAUAGCAGUUUCAGAGAAACUCACUGAGGGUGAGGGUCCCCCAAGGAUUAUAUAGUGUCAGGAAAACGGGUUUGUUUUCCUGACACUAUAGUGAUCCUUUAAGAAAAAACACACUGAUUGCACCGAUGUAAC